GACUGACUGAGGUUACCUUGUUACGACUUCACCCCAAUCAUCGCCCCCACCUUCGACGGUCGGUUCCUUUCGGCCCUUAGCCGGCUUCGGGUGUGAAUGACUUUCGUGGUGUGACGGGCGGUGUGUACAAGGCCCGGGAACGUAUUCACCGCAGUAUGCUGACCUGCGAUUACUAGCGAUUCCGACUUCAUGCAGGCGAGUUUCAGCCUGCAAUCCGAACUGAGAGAUGCUUUUAGGGUUCCGCUCUGCCUCGCGACUUCGCUUCCCUCUGUUCAUCCCAUUGUAGUACGUGUGUAGCCCAAGACGUAAGGGGCAUGAUGACUUGACGUCAUCCCCGCCUUCCUCCGCGUUGUCCGCGGCAGUCUACUAUGAGUUCCCACCUUUACGUGCUGGCAACAUA
Molecule: ribosomal RNA, 400 nt
Filed under: uncultured bacterium
Lineage: Bacteria
Description: partial 16S ribosomal RNA
Source: RNAcentral